This 429-nucleotide ribosomal RNA is filed under the name Pseudomonadota bacterium. Its description in RNAcentral is "Proteobacteria bacterium partial 16S ribosomal RNA". It matches the Rfam family "Bacterial small subunit ribosomal RNA", at positions 355 to 776 of the family's 1533-position model. Lineage: Bacteria; Pseudomonadati; Pseudomonadota. The record is from RNAcentral.
UGGGGAAUAUUGGACAAUGGGCGAAAGCCUGAUCCAGCCAUGCCGCGUGUGUGAAGAAGGUCUUCGGAUUGUAAAGCACUUUAAGGUGGGAGGAAGGGCAGUAAGCGAAUACCCUGCUGUUUUGACGUUACCGACAGAAUAAGCACCGGCUAACUCUGUGCCAGCAGCCGCGGUAAUACAGAGGGUGCAAGCGUUAAUCGGAAUUACUGGGCGUAAAGCGCGCGUAGGUGGUUCGUUAAGUUGAAUGUGAAAGCCCCGGGCUCAACCUGGGAACUGCAUCCAAAACUGGCGAGCUAGAGUAGGGCAGAGGGUGGUGGAAUUUCCUGUAUAGCGGUGAAAUGCGUAGAUAUAGGAAGGAACACCAGAGGCGAAGGCGACCACCUGGGCUCAUACUGACACUGAGGUGCGAAAGCGUGGGGAGCAAACAGG